GGCUUUGUAGUGUAGAGGUUAUCACUCAAGAUUCUGAUUAUUCAAGUUCUUGAAACCCAGGUUCGAGUCCUGGCAAGGCCU
This 81-nucleotide transfer RNA is filed under the name Coprinopsis marcescibilis. It matches the Rfam family "tRNA". Rfam says of the family: Transfer RNA (tRNA) molecules are approximately 80 nucleotides in length. Their secondary structure includes four short double-helical elements and three loops (D, anti-codon, and T loops). Lineage: Eukaryota; Fungi; Basidiomycota; Agaricomycetes; Agaricales; Psathyrellaceae. The record is from Rfam by way of RNAcentral.